UACGUAGGGUGCGAGCGUUAAUCGGAAUUACUGGGCGUAAAGCGUGCGCAGGCGGUUUUGUAAGACAGAUGUGAAAUCCCCGGGCUUAACCUGGGAACUGCAUUUGUGACUGUAAGACUAGAGUGCGGCAGAGGGGGGUAGAAUUCCACGUGUAGCAGUGAAAUGCGUAGAUAUGUGGAGGAAUACCGAUGGCGAAGGCAGCCCCCUGGGUCGACACUGACGCUCAUGCACGAAAGCGUGGGGAGCAAACAGG
RNAcentral lists this ribosomal RNA (253 nucleotides) under uncultured bacterium. Its description in RNAcentral is "partial 16S ribosomal RNA". It matches the Rfam family "Bacterial small subunit ribosomal RNA", at positions 524 to 776 of the family's 1533-position model. The record is from RNAcentral.